Molecule: ribosomal RNA, 497 nt
Filed under: uncultured bacterium
Lineage: Bacteria
Description: partial 16S ribosomal RNA
Rfam family: Bacterial small subunit ribosomal RNA
Source: RNAcentral
GAUGAACGCUGGCGGCGUGCCUAAUACAUGCAAGUCGAGCGAACGGACGAGAAGCUUGCUUCUCUGAUGUUAGCGGCGGACGGGUGAGUAACAAGUGGAUAACCUACCUAUAAGACUGGGAUAACUUCGGGAAACCGGCGCUAAUUCCGGCUAAUUUUUUGAACCUCAUGGAUCAAAAGUGAAAGACGGUCUUGCUGUCCCUUAUAGAUGGAUCCGCGCUGCAUUAGCUAGUUGGUAAGGUAACGGCUUACCAAGGCAACGAUGCAUAGCCGACCUGAGAGGGUGAUCGGCCACACUGGAACUGAGACACGGUCCAGACUCCUACGGGAGGCAGCAGUAGGGAAUCUUCCGCAAUGGGCGAAAGCCUGACGGAGCAACGCCGCGUGAGUGAUGAAGGUCUUCGGAUCGUAAAGCUCUGUUAUUAGGGAAGAACAGAUGUGUAAGUAACUGUGCACAUCGUGACGGUACCUAAUCAGAAAGCCACGGCUAACUACGUG